CUACGGAGGGAGCAAGCGUUAUUCGGAAUCACUGGGCGUAAAGGACGCGUAGGCGGGUUUGUAAGUCAGGUGUGAAAUCCUACAGCUCAACUGUAGAACUGCACUUGAAACUACAGACCUAGAGUAUGGAAGGGGCAGAUGGAAUUAGUGGUGUAGGGGUAAAAUCCGUAGAUAUCACUAGGAAUACCGAAAGCGAAGGCGAUCUGCUGGGACAUUACUGACGCUGAGGCGUGAAAGCGUGGGGAGCAAACAGGAGUAGAUACCCUAGUAGUCC
This 274-nucleotide ribosomal RNA is filed under the name uncultured bacterium. RNAcentral's name for it is "partial 16S ribosomal RNA". It matches the Rfam family "Bacterial small subunit ribosomal RNA", at positions 523 to 796 of the family's 1533-position model. The record is from RNAcentral.